GCUAGAAGAAUCUACUGACCUGGAGGAGAUCAUGAGUGCUGGAGAUGACUGUUGCCUGAUAACUCUCCCCUUGAAUGAGCAGUCUGCACCGCCUCAAAGAAAUACAGCUGAGAGUCCAUCUGAAAAAACUGAAACUGGAUGAUACACAACAAGAAGUUACUUCAAAACAUGAGCAUUCUUCCGAUUUACAAGAACCAUCAGUUAAAAUUCAGUCUCCUAAAUUAAGUGGCAAAUCUAGGGCAGAUUCUGCUUCCAGGGAUGACAGAAAGCAAGAAACAAGUGUGUCGUUUAAUUACAGGAAACAUCUCUUCUCUGAGAGUAGUCAAGAUUCAAGUACCAGUACCAGCGAACUAUCUUGGACCAGUAACCAAAAGAAGAAAUCCCUAAAAUCAUACUCUAGUAGAAAAAAGAUAAGAACCAGGAGUAGUAUAAGAAUCUUGCCACUUUUCCCUCUCAGUAGUGGCAGUGACCAUGACCACAAGAAAGACCAAGCUAAACUUCUAAGACCAUUACGGAAAGACGUGUCCAGGCAAAAUGACACCAUGCCUCCGCAAAUUUCCGAAACAAAAUUCCCAAGUAGUUCUGCCUUUUUAACUCUUGAAGAUUCUGCGAAAAAAACAGAUUGUGAACCAAGAGUCAUUACUGGAGAGUACUAGCUUCAAACAUACGCUGCAAAACUUGGAAGAUAGAGGCAUCUUCACUCCAUCCUGAGAAGUUGUGCCAGAGAGCUUGAAUGAGUCUGCCCUUCUCACAACCUUUGAAAACUUCACUAGAGAACUGAGAAGAAAAUACAAGGACCAAAGGGACCUAUGUGGAAAUCAGAAGCAUGGUUUGGUUUCAAUGGUAGUGUUUUCACACAGCUGAACUACCGGAAAACAAUGAUUUGGUCAUGCUAAUAGAUAAGGAAGAGAAAAGAGGGAACCAAGCGAAGGACUGGAGAGGAGUUGGGGACAAAGAAGGAGGUAGACUGUGGCUGGUUGGUCAGCUGAGUUGUGGCAGGUCUUGAGACACAUGCAUGUACAGGUUGUCCUAAAAUCUUGUCUACGGGAUGAACAUUAGAGCUAUUUUAGUCCCCUCCUUUUUCUGUCCAGUUAUUUAUAAAUCUCUAAUGACUUAUUAGCACUUUCGAGAAAAGUAUCUUAUCCUAACCAAAUUCAUUUAACUAACUUGGAAGAUCUUCAAAGUCCUGUCUUACUUUCUGUGAUACCAAUGUAAGCCGAUUUAUUAUGGGUAUUUGUUCACAGUAUUCAAUAUGCGUAUUGGUAGCAUGAAUAUAAAUUUUCCCAUUUUAGCUUGUUCUGUAUUGCUAAUGCCUGAAAGGUGUGUAGGGGGAUGCCUUAUCAUAGUUCUUGAACACUAAUGCUAGCUAUGAAUAUUACCAUAUGCUGGCAGCGUCUUU
Molecule: RNA transcript, 1399 nt
Organism: Lemur catta (Ring-tailed lemur)
Lineage: Eukaryota; Metazoa; Chordata; Mammalia; Primates; Lemuridae
Gene name: synaptonemal complex protein 2-like
Exons: 10
Source: RefSeq, a predicted model, not a curated record